UGAUGAUAUAUUGUUUGAUAUAUUGAUAAUGAUACAUUAUUUGUGAUUGUGAUUUUUUAUAAGAUCAUUUUUAUGCUUGAUUUCUAAGUUAUAAGAAAGCUGAUUGGUUAGCCCACUAAUCAUGUGCUUGCUCAACCCAGCCUGUUAGAAAAUACGACCGCUCACAAAAGAAAAUGCCUGUAAAAGAAAAAGCAAAUUAAAAAAUUGCUAAAUAACACACACCCAUAUGGUAACUAACCUCGUGCAAAACAAUAACUGAUAUUAAUGCUCUUAGCCAAUGAAAAUCAUCUCUAAAAGCUACUUCUGUCAGGUGAAGGAAAAACGAAUUCCUCAGAACAAACUUGCAGUGAGAAUGGCGGUGGCAGUAAAUUAGAGUCCUUUAAGCCCUAUGUCAGGUGUUACGGAGGCGUACUCCACUCAAACAGACGCUGUCAAUCAUCUGGAAUGGCUUAUUUGUGUUCAUUUCUCAAAACUUUCUAAACUAACAGACAGACUUAUACUGACUUUAAGGUAAGCUGAAGUUUACUGUCAUGUCUAACGAUAAAUAGUGUUUAUAAAGCAGUGCUAAGACACAAGGUAGGUGGGCAGCUUGUGUUAAAGUGUAUACGGCAGCAUGCUCAGUACUCAAAACUAAUUCUGAACGCUGCAAAAGUCAUUAUAAAGAAUGCCACAGCAUGCGCUAACAUAGCUAAUAACUCUCUGCACUCCUCUCCUUCGUCUGUUUCCUCUCCCCUCGGUCAGAAUGUGGAGUUCCUCUGGGAGGACGUGGCUGCUUUGCAGCAGCAUGGCUUUAGUGUGGACCCUACCAAAGGAAGUGUGGAUGCGGGACACAGGCGCACCAUCACUGUCACUUGGACGCCCCCUGCUGGACACACUCCCAGUGAAGUUGUUCAGGUGCGUGUUCCCUUGACUUUGAAAGGAGACGAGACUGAGGUGUAUAGCGUCACUCUCAUGGCCUGCAUAUCCCACAACGCUCACUCUGCAUAGGACCUGAAACCUUUGACGAAUUUUUUUGAAAAACUUUUCAUUCUUCUGUAAAUGCCAUGAUUUUAGACUUCAAGCGUUUAUAUUUAUGAUGUCAAUAUUAAACAUCUCUUUGUUACUUAAUAAUAAUAAUCAAGUAGUUCUAAUUCCUGUGAUUUGUUCAAUUUGUUACUUUCUUUUUACUGUUUAUUGAUAAAAGUGUUGUAAAUGUUCUCUACAAUUUU
Molecule: long non-coding RNA, 1208 nt
Organism: Pygocentrus nattereri (red-bellied piranha)
Lineage: Eukaryota; Metazoa; Chordata; Actinopteri; Characiformes; Serrasalmidae
Source: Ensembl